AAAUUUUUAGUUUAAUAAAAAAUAUUUUGUUUACACCAAAAAGGUUAAAAAUUUU
Molecule: transfer RNA, 55 nt
Filed under: Hammerschmidtiella sp. ZengetLiu-2016
Lineage: Eukaryota; Metazoa; Nematoda; Chromadorea; Rhabditida; Thelastomatidae
Description: tRNA-Val
Source: RNAcentral